RNAcentral lists this ribosomal RNA (492 nucleotides) under uncultured bacterium. Its description in RNAcentral is "partial 16S ribosomal RNA". It matches the Rfam family "Bacterial small subunit ribosomal RNA", at positions 29 to 507 of the family's 1533-position model. The record is from RNAcentral.
AGUGAACGCUGGCGGUAGGCCUAACACAUGCAAGUCGAACGGCAGCACAGUAAGAGCUUGCUCUUACGGGUGGCGAGUGGCGGACGGGUGAGGAAUACAUCGGAAUCUACUUUUUCGUGGGGGAUAACGUAGGGAAACUUACGCUAAUACCGCAUACGACCUACGGGUGAAAGCAGGGGAGCUUCGGACCUUGCGCGAUUGAAUGAGCCGAUGUCGGAUUAGCUAGUUGGCGGGGUAAAGGCCCACCAAGGCGACGAUCCGUAGCUGGUCUGAGAGGAUGAUCAGCCACACUGGAACUGAGACACGGUCCAGACUCCUACGGGAGGCAGCAGUGGGGAAUAUUGGACAAUGGGCGCAAGCCUGAUCCAGCCAUACCGCGUGAGUGAAGAAGGCCUUCGGGUUGUAAAGCCCUUUUGUUGGGAAAGAAAAGCAGCAGGUUAAUACCCCGCUGUUCUGACGGUACCCAAAGAAUAAGCACCGGCUAACUUCGUG